This 3228-nucleotide long non-coding RNA is filed under the name Polistes canadensis. RNAcentral describes it as "uncharacterized LOC106793609". The record is from RNAcentral. Lineage: Eukaryota; Metazoa; Arthropoda; Insecta; Hymenoptera; Vespidae.
UCGUGAAAAGAAAAAGAAGUCAAUAAUGGUUCCUGUAGCACGUUCUACAUUUGAAGAAAAAUAAAAAAAAAACAAAAAAGGAGAGAAAGAACGGACAAUAUCGUUGGCGGUAAUGUUCUUGUCGCGCGAUAGGUAGGGCUAAAUGUAACCAACCGUCGGACUAUUUUGCGAUCGUUAAGCCUGUAACAUAUACGUUACGCAUAGCCCUCUCACACGUAGGAUGAUAUCUGUAAGAGUUUGCGAACACAGAGACUGAGUUCUUCUGGGUGAAGCUUAUGCGAGAGUCGGUAGUAUCGUCGGUGGCUCGUAAAAAGUCAAACGUAUGGCGCGUCGGCGCAGCCACGUUGACAUUUUGUGUAUAAGUACGCAAUAUAAUUAGCGACCAUAAUCGUAAAUAAGUCCUACGGACCAAUAUGGAGACGACCUCGAGACAAGAAGGAAUUUUUCAAAGAUAUUCUACAGCAAUGAUUAAAAACUUAUAAAUCCGAUGAUCAUCCUCGGAUCAAUCGAUUCGCACACGGACGGUCAAAGUUAAACUUUCAAAAGGGUUCAAGCGUUUACGCUCGAAUUAUCCACGAUUAAAAUUUGCACCGUAAAAUCGAUACGAUUGACAACCGUAUCCUUUUACCCAUCUAUCAAUUCUUUUCGAUUGCUGGCCCACAAAUUUUUCCAUCUUUCAUCAAUAAAAACUUGUGUCGAUUCACAAGCGGGCAACCGGAGGCGGAGCCAGGCUGCCCUCUGUGGGCCGGGCCAACGCAAAUGACUCUUCCAUGCAAGAUGGCGUAGGCACGGAACGCUAGGCGGUGCUGCUGGUGCUGGUGGUGCUGCUGUUUCUGUUGCUGCUGCUGCUGCUGCUGCCGCUGUCGGUGCGUGCCCGCGAGCCCCGUGCUUUUAUAUUUAGCGCGCGCGACGUGCAGCCGACGUGCGGACGACAACGUGCGGACGACGAGUUUCCUCGUGAGCAUCAUAUCCAGAUCCAGGCUCGAUUUUACAUAGUCGUUCGAAGUCCGUUCCGGCUGUUAAACCUUGUCGUGGAUGCGACGACGCGUCGAGAUUCGUAAUCGGCCUGUUCUUUAUGACGGGAAUCCUCGACGAUGCAUCUUUCCUGGUGUGCUCGAAGAAAAAUAACCGCGUCAGAUAAGAGAAAGCACACGGUGGAAAGAAAGGAGAGGAGAAAUCAUGUUUUCCUUUUAUAAGGAGAAACCGAUAUGAAGACGCGCAAAAGAGGAAAGAAGAAGAAGAAGAAGAAGAAGAAGAACGGUGAGUGCACUCGAACGAAGGGGUAAGUAGGUAUUCGAUAGUCUGUAAUGUACUCAGAAACGAUGCUGAAUUUCCACGAAGGAAACCUUAUCUUGCAAGUACAGAUAGCAGCCAAUAACGACAACGGCGUUAAGAAGGAGAAGAAAAAGAGGAAGAAGAAGAAAAGAAAAAGGAAAAGAAUACAACGACGAUACAAACGCAAAAAGUUACAUGUGUUAGCCAGCACACCCCGACUAACAUUGCAAGAUGGCUUAUUCCAAUGAGAAUAUAUGAAACAACACGAAGGGAAACAAGCGAUGAUACUCACAGUCGUUCGCCGACUACACCAUAAAAUACGCCAUAAAAGGAAAGAAGAGAAGAAAAGAGCCGGACAAAGGUGAAAAGACGAAUCCAAAAGGGUGAACGCAGAUAGUGUCCUUCUCGCGAAUCUGUGCGUGCACCUAUCCGAAAUAAACGAAUCGAAAAUUUUCGACUAUUUCCACACAACUAUUUUCGUUUUUAACAUUGAAUGAAAGGAAAAAUUGAGCGAGUGGAAAUAUUUUCCACUCCACCGAUCAUAAAUUCAACCGCGAAUUCAUUCGCUAUCGUUCAAACGUUUUUAAAUAUUUAAGCACUGAAGACACUUUUCUACUACAUUAUUUAAUGAUAUACGAAAAUUUUCUAGCGAAUUGAGAGAAUGAUCUUAUAGUUAGAUAAAAAUAAUAGAUUUUAAGAAAGUCACUUAAAUAAUUGUGCUAACGUAAUGGAUUUAAACCAAUCGACGUAAUUUAUUUUAAUCGAAUCACUUGAUCCCGUGUAAUUUAUGCGACACCGGCGAAUUUGUAGAAUUCUAAUAGAAAUAUCGAGCUAAAAUACGUGAAAUAUGUAUUUCUUUGAAAACAAUUUCAGUUUAACGAACUAAAGUAUAUAUAUAUGUAUACGUGAAUUCUAAAAAAAAUUAUUCUACGCAUAUCCUCGAAUUUUAUUGCAUCUUUUUUAAAUAAUAUUUUUCUUUAGCGUAAUUUCACCGGGACUUUGCUGAUUACGUUACUCUAUUCGCGAGUCAUUACCAGCGCGUCAUAAACAUCGAAAUGCGUUUUGAAUGGUGAAGCGGGGAGAGGAACGGGAUAUAGAAAUGUAAUGCAUAUGUGCUACGUCUUUUGAAACGACAUCGAAUGAAAGGAUAGGUAAAAUAGAAAGAGAUGAGAAUAAAUAUAUAUAUUUCCUUGUAAAUCUCGUUAGAAAUUGAUUUCGGUUCUCCGUACUCAUUCUAACAUUUAACAGAUCAAAUGAGAAUAUCCUGAAGGAGGUUAGACGGCAGUUUCUCGAAACGGCAGAGCUCAGACAUACGCCUGGUAUUUGGCAGAAAUUAGGUUGGUAAUGCCUCAGCGACCGGUCUCAGCAGCAGCACUUAACGCCGUAAAGCUGUUUGAUGGCAUCGCUAUCACCCCUAACCGUUCCUAACAGUCCAACGCACACUUCACACUGCGCCCGGGCUCUGACACUGCAACCGUGAGUUAUUCACUUAAUGCGGCCAUUACGCGCUCCUCGAUGGUGCUUCAUCCUGAUUUACUUGACAAGCAUUUAUUGCUUCUAUCUCGGCUAGCAAUAUUAAACCCUCUGCUCGCGUUUCCUACGUUCAUAUAUACAUAGGUAUAUCCUACGUAUGUACGUAUGUACGUAGAAUGCGUUCUCUUAUGCGUAUUCUACUAACGUGUCUACGUGUAAGUAAGCGGGUGUGUACAAGCGAUAUCACGACGACGACGAUGAUGGUGAAAGCUUCGCGGAAUGAUCGAUGUCCAGCGUCUACAUAGAGAGAUGCUUCAAGAAAACCCAUCGACCAAACGGAGUUUUGUAAACUGUAUUAACUAUGGGGUUUACUGGAUAAACCUGUGCUACCGAUUCUACAGAAUCAAAUACUUUUCAACGGGUUCACUAUUGAAUCAUUUUUCAAACGUAUGAUAUCAAACAAUUACACUUAUUAUUAAA